CUGUAUCUUCCCUCCCCCACCUCCUGUUUGCUCUGAUUUCAGAUCCUAAACAUCACUGUGAAAGCCCCAGCCUGCUGCUGAGCCAGCUGCUGCCCCACAUGGAGAAGAUGGGAGGCUGGGGUCCUAUAAUGUCAGUGAAACAGCCCUGUUGGGCCUCAGCAAGACCCUUGCAGGGAGCUGGCACACCAAAGAACAUUCGGGCAAACUGUCUGAUACCAGGAAUCAUUGACACAUGCUUCAGCACCAUGGUGAGGACCACGGGCAGCUCCUGUUUCUACCCCCUGAGCAGUAGUGUGCCUUCCCCUUCCAGGC
RNAcentral lists this long non-coding RNA (312 nucleotides) under Rhinopithecus bieti (black snub-nosed monkey). Its description in RNAcentral is "lncRNA (ENSRBIG00000045943.1)". Lineage: Eukaryota; Metazoa; Chordata; Mammalia; Primates; Cercopithecidae. The record is from RNAcentral.